GAGAUAGAGGUGCUUGGCCAGCUCUCUGGUCUUGUUAACAAGCCUCAUAAUAAAGAUGGAGAUGAUAAG
Pan paniscus (pygmy chimpanzee) is the source of this 69-nucleotide unclassified non-coding RNA. NCBI's taxonomy places the organism in Eukaryota, Metazoa, Chordata, Mammalia, Primates, Hominidae. The record is from Ensembl.